RNAcentral lists this ribosomal RNA (259 nucleotides) under uncultured bacterium. RNAcentral describes it as "partial 16S ribosomal RNA". It matches the Rfam family "Bacterial small subunit ribosomal RNA", at positions 524 to 777 of the family's 1533-position model. The record is from RNAcentral.
UACGGAGGGUGCGAGCGUUGUCCGGAAUCACUGGGCGUAAAGGGCGCGUAGGCGGCCUGAUAAGUAGGGGGGUGAAAUCCUGCGGCUUAACCGCAGGGGCUGCCUUCUAAACUGUCAGGCUCGAGCACAGUAGAGGCAGGUGGAAUUCCCGGUGUAGCGGUGGAAUGCGUAGAGAUCGGGGAAGAACAUCAGUGGCGAAGGCGGCCUGCUGGGCUGUUGCUGGACGCUGAGGCGCGACAGCGUGGGGGAGCAAACAGGG